RNAcentral lists this ribosomal RNA (500 nucleotides) under uncultured bacterium. RNAcentral's name for it is "partial 16S ribosomal RNA". It matches the Rfam family "Bacterial small subunit ribosomal RNA", at positions 28 to 507 of the family's 1533-position model. The record is from RNAcentral.
GACGAACGCUGGCGGCGUGCCUAAUACAUGCAAGUCGAGCGGACUGAUUAAGAGCUUGCUCUUAUGACGUUAGCGGCGGACGGGUGAGUAACACGUGGGCAACCUGCCCUGUAGAUCGGGAUAACACCGAGAAAUCGGUGCUAAUACCGGGUAAUAUCUGAGAUCACAUGAUCUUAGGUUAAAAGAUGGCUCCGGCUAUCACUACAGGAUGGGCCCGCGGCGCAUUAGCUAGUUGGUAAGGUAAUGGCUUACCAAGGCGACGAUGCGUAGCCGACCUGAGAGGGUGAUCGGCCACACUGGGACUGAGACACGGCCCAGACUCCUACGGGAGGCAGCAGUAGGGAAUCUUCCGCAAUGGACGAAAGUCUGACGGAGCAACGCCGCGUGAGUGAUGAAGGGUUUCGGCUCGUCAAGCUCUGUUGUUAGGGAAGAAACAGUACCGAACGAACUAGGUCGGUACCUUGACGGUACCUAACCAGAAAGCCACGGCUAACUACGUG